Molecule: long non-coding RNA, 1765 nt
Organism: Bos grunniens (domestic yak)
Lineage: Eukaryota; Metazoa; Chordata; Mammalia; Artiodactyla; Bovidae
Source: Ensembl
ACACCAUCAGCACCUGCGACACCAUCAGCACCUGCGACACCAUCAGCACCUGCGACACCAUCAGCACCUGCGACACCAUCAGCACCUGCGACACCAUCAGCACCUGCGACACCAUCAGCACCUGCGACACCAUCAGCACCUGCGACACCAUCAGCACCUGCGACACCAUCAGCACCUGCGACACCAUCAGCACCUGCGACACCAUCAGCACCUGCGACAGCUGCGAUACCAAGUACCAGCUUCACCUGUGACGCCCUAAGCACCCAGGACACCACUGGGGCCUGCAAUAUAGAUGACACCCGUGUCAUCUGUGACACCUGCGUCACCAGUGACACCUGCCUCACCCGUGACACCAGCAUCAUCGAUGACUUCUAUGAUGCCCGUGACGCCAGUGAACCCAGUGAACCCAUGACAGCUAUGAUACCAGCAGCACCAGCCUCACCCAUGACGCCUGUGGCACCCAUGACACAAGGGGCACCCAUGACACAAGGGGCACCCGUGACACCAGCCUCACCUAUGACGCCCUGAGCACCCAGGACACCACUGGGGCCUGCAACAUAGAUGACACCCGUGUCAUCUGUGACACCUGCGUCACCAGUGACACCUGCCUCACCCGUGACACCAGUGGUGACCACAGCACCCAGGAUACUCAUGCUACUAACGUCACCCGUGACACCAGGGGUGCCAGCGACACAGAUGGCACCCAUGGCAACUGUGACACACAUCACACCAGGGGCACCCAUGACACCAGUGUCACCCGUGGCACCCACGUCACCCACAACAUUCACAGAACCCACGGCACACAGGACAACCACACCACCUGUGACACCUGCAACACCAAUGGCACCCAUGACAUCAGCGGAAAGUCCCUGAAGGAACUCACUGCCUCCCAGAGGUGCCUGAUGCAGGAAGCACCACCCUUGUUGGGCACCCCGAGGAUAUGUCCCCAGUCACUCCCUCUGGCCUCACCUAGAAAAAGAAGGGGUUGGCUGGGAGUAUCUGGAGACGUAUAUUUAAAUAUCUUUGCUGUGGGCUGCCCAGCAAGAGAGCUAGUAAUAAAGUGGCGCCAGAAACAGACAGUGGAUGACCUGACAAGCUCCAUGGGACCUGGUCGAGUUCCCACCUGGAUGAUGGGAUUCAAAUCCAGCACCUCCACCGCCUUCAGAAAAGCCUCCUAUAGAAAACCCUGGCCAGCUCAGAUGAUGCUCUGGAGUGGUCUGGGCGACCAGAAGAGGCACCACCCUGGCCUGGCUGCCCCUCCUCCCCUGCUGGGUGAAACUUCAGAGACUGGACUGUGCCCUGGGGCAUGUCCCCCACCCCCCACACUUCUGUCUUUCAUUUUGGUGGGGGAGGGGAUAGUUAUUGCCAACUCCUUGGUUUUCUCUUAGUUCAGUCUUACUAAACUUUAUGCUCCAGAAAGAUGUAUCAUCCUCUGUUUUGCCUUCUCUCUGGUUAGAGAAGUGUGUAGUCAUGUAGUACUUAGCGUUAAUGACCUAAAAUUAGUGCAAUCGUUCCCAAGAGCAAAUAUUGCUGCCCUGCACUGCAGGCCAGACAUGCAGAAAGAGUGUAUUAUCCCCUGCACUAACAUUACCUAAUAUUUUCAGAAGGGCAAAGGAAACUUUUGGUCCCUGCGCUAGGGCUAAAAGGACCGGGACGUCUAGGAUAGGAUAAUAAGUCCUGUGAACCAGCCAGUGUGUGGUGUGGUCAGGCUCCUGUGCGGAUGACUUUCCUGAAUAUCCUGCAGGAGCUGGGCUCUCUCCUUCCC